GAUGAACGCUGGCGGCGUGCCUAAUACAUGCAAGUCGAGCGAACGGACGAGAAGCUUGCUUCUCUGAUGUUAGCUGCGGACGGGUGAGUAACACGUGGAUAACCUACCUAUAAGACUGGGAUAACUUCUGGAAACCGUAGCUAAUACCGGAUAAUAUUUUGAACCGCAUGUUUCAAAAGUGAAAGACGGUCUUGCUGUCACUUAUAGAUGGAUCCGCGCUGCAUUAGCUAGUUGGUAAGGUAACGGCUUACCAAGGCAACGAUGCAUAGCCGACCUGAGAGGGUGAUCGGCCACACUGGAACUGAGACACGGUCCAGACUCCUACGGGAGGCAGCAGUAGGGAAUCUUCCGCAAUGGGCGAAAGCCUGACGGAGAAACGCCGCGUGAGUGAUGAAGGUCUUCGGAUCGUAAAACUCUGUUAUUAGGGAAGAACAUAUGUGUAAGUAACUGUGCACAUCUUGACGGUACCUAAUCAGAAAGCCACGGCUAACUACGUG
RNAcentral lists this ribosomal RNA (497 nucleotides) under uncultured bacterium. RNAcentral's name for it is "partial 16S ribosomal RNA". It matches the Rfam family "Bacterial small subunit ribosomal RNA", at positions 28 to 507 of the family's 1533-position model. The record is from RNAcentral.